UACGGAGGGUGCAAGCGUUAUCCGGAAUCACUGGGCGUAAAGGGCGCGUAGGCGGUCUGUUAAGUCUGGCGUUAAAGCCUGGGGCUCAACCCCAGAUCAGCGUUGGAUACUGGCAGGCUAGACGGUUGGAGAGGCGAGUGGAAUUACCAGUGUAGCGGUGGAAUGCGUAGAUACUGGUAGGAACACCCAUUGCGAAGGCAGCUCGCUGGACAACACGUGACGCUGAGGCGCGAAAGUGUGGGGAGCAAACCGGAUUAGAUACCCGCGUAGU
This 271-nucleotide ribosomal RNA is filed under the name uncultured prokaryote. RNAcentral's name for it is "partial 16S ribosomal RNA". It matches the Rfam family "Bacterial small subunit ribosomal RNA", at positions 524 to 794 of the family's 1533-position model. The record is from RNAcentral.